AUACUUACCUGGCAGGGGCAAUACCAUGAUCAAGACGGUGGUUUGCCCAAAGCGAGGCUCAGCCAUUGCACUCAGGCUGUGUUGACCUUUGCGAAUUCCCCAAAUGUGGGAGUCUCAACUGCAUAAUUUCUUAUAGUGGGGAACUGCGUUCGCGCUCUCCCCUG
This is a small nuclear RNA of Silurus meridionalis, 164 nucleotides long. RefSeq annotates it as U1 spliceosomal RNA. Lineage: Eukaryota; Metazoa; Chordata; Actinopteri; Siluriformes; Siluridae. The transcript has a single exon. The record is from RefSeq and is a predicted model, not a curated record.